Molecule: ribosomal RNA, 544 nt
Filed under: Aspergillus flavus
Lineage: Eukaryota; Fungi; Ascomycota; Eurotiomycetes; Eurotiales; Aspergillaceae
Description: eukaryotic LSU rRNA
Rfam family: 5.8S ribosomal RNA (bases 168-321)
Source: RNAcentral
UCUAGCGAGCCCACCUCCCACCCGUGUUUACUGUACCUUAGUUGCUUCGGCGGGCCCGCCAUUCAUGGCCGCCGGGGGCUCUCAGCCCCGGGCCCGCGCCCGCCGGAGACACCACGAACUCUGUCUGAUCUAGUGAAGUCUGAGUUGAUUGUAUCGCAAUCAGUUAAAACUUUCAACAAUGGAUCUCUUGGUUCCGGCAUCGAUGAAGAACGCAGCGAAAUGCGAUAACUAGUGUGAAUUGCAGAAUUCCGUGAAUCAUCGAGUCUUUGAACGCACAUUGCGCCCCCUGGUAUUCCGGGGGGCAUGCCUGUCCGAGCGUCAUUGCUGCCCAUCAAGCACGGCUUGUGUGUUGGGUCGUCGUCCCCUCUCCGGGGGGGACGGGCCCCAAAGGCAGCGGCGGCACCGCGUCCGAUCCUCGAGCGUAUGGGGCUUUGUCACCCGCUCUGUAGGCCCGGCCGGCGCUUGCCGAACGCAAAUCAAUCUUUUUCCAGGUUGACCUCGGAUCAGGUAGGGAUACCCGCUGAACUUAAGCAUAUCAAUAAGC